UGUUUCCUUUUUCAAUUCCAAGUUGAAGGGGAACAUUCUGUCUCCUUUAUUGGCUCUAUAGUUGGAAAACAUAGACCUCACUCUUGUAAUUUUGAAUCUGCUCAUCUGUGACAGUGGGGAGAGCCGCCUAUUGGAUUUCUGACAGGUUGGAUCCUGAGGUAGACAUGCACUGAGAGGCGGGGACCUCCACCCUCCACCCAAGGCUCUAGGGGGUACAGUGGGCCUGGGGAUCCCCCCGCCUGGCUGUAACUGCCCCUCCUCCAUGACUCCCAGGACAGGAGCCUGGGCUAUUGCACUCCAUUAGCAGGGGCAGCUCUGUUUCCCAGCAGGGGGCUUGGAAGGCCUACUUCCACGUUUCUGUGUCCCCUGGGCAGAGGGAGUCCUGCAGAACGUGACAGGGUGAUGUUUGCUCUUAUCUUCAGUUGGAGCCAAGACUCAGGAACUCUGGCAUUAUGGCUGUGGUCACAGAAAAAUCGUCCUCCCCUGGCCUCCUGGCUCUGUCCUCUCCCCAAGGACCAAGCGCCCCACCCAUCUGAGCCUUUGUUUGUGCAUCUAGAGCCCUGAAGCGUGGGCAGGAAGAGAACUGAAAGCACCUGGUCCAGUAGCCUCUGUAUAUGGAACUGGGAGAAGUGGCCCAGGACAGAGGCAGGGACGCAAAGCCCUCCUAGGCCGGUGUCCACCUGCAGUGGAUCACCAGCUCCGCAGAAGCCGCACAGCCAUUGUUCACGUUCUAUAGCUAAGCGGAAGUCGGAGGGUCGAAGACCUGCCCAGGGUCUGCGGGCAGUCAUUUGUAGGCCGGGGACUCAGACACGCUAGCCUGGGGCAGGCGAUGCAGAGAGCCUUUCUCCAGAGGAGAUGGACAGGUGGACAGACAGGCAGCUCUAAGGCCCUCAAGACCCAGGUGUCUGGAGUUAGGAACCACCUCUGCUUUCCUUCUCAGCCCAUGGGCUCCCGGUGGGGAAAGGCCUUC
RNAcentral lists this long non-coding RNA (970 nucleotides) under Marmota monax (woodchuck). The record is from RNAcentral. Lineage: Eukaryota; Metazoa; Chordata; Mammalia; Rodentia; Sciuridae.